This 428-nucleotide ribosomal RNA is filed under the name uncultured archaeon. RNAcentral describes it as "bacterial SSU rRNA". It matches the Rfam family "Archaeal small subunit ribosomal RNA", at positions 474 to 903 of the family's 1478-position model. The record is from RNAcentral.
UACCAGCUCUCCGAGUGGUAGGGAUGAUUAUUGGGCUUAAAGCGUCCGUAGCCGGCUUAGCAAGUUUCCUGUUAAACUCUGCGACUUAAUCGUUGAAUCGCGGGAAAUACUACUAGGCUAGGAGGCGGGAGAGGUCAACGGUACUUCUGGGGUAGGGGUGAAAUCCUAUAAUCCCGGGAGGACCACCAGUGGCGAAGGCUGUCGACUAGAACGCGCUCGACGGUGAGGGACGAAAGCUGGGGGAGCGAACCGGAUUAGAUACCCGGGUAGUCCCAGCUGUGAACGAUGCGGGCUAGGUGUUGGGGUGGCUACGUGCCACUUCAGUGCCGCAGGGAAGCCAUUAAGCCCGCCGCCUGGGGAGUACGGCCGCAAGGCUGAAACUUAAAGGAAUUGGCGGGGAGCACCACAAGGCGUGAAGCUUGCGGUUC